AUCAAAUAGGCGCUUGCAGUAAAAUUCAGAAUUUGCUUUAUUCAAUCAAAGUAUCAAACUGAAUUAAUUAUUUUGAAGUAGUGUUGUGGUGCUGCCUUGAAUUCUCAAACGUAAGUUAGUCUAAGACUGACAACAAACUUUGAAUACCUCGAACAUUAAAAUGUGAGAUAAAUUUAAUUUUUUGCACCCCUUUGCACCCCUGUUAACCAAGGCCUACCUGGGUGAAAAACAAAUAUCACCACUCUCCUAUAAAUCCACCACUAGAUUAAACGAGGAUGAAAGUGCAUGCGAGUUGCCAAUCCCGCGACUUUGACUGGAUGUUCUCAAUGCUUUCACAAUUACUAUCAUGUAUUUUAUUUAAAACAUAAUUGGAAAACUCAUCAAUCAUUUAUUUUGUACCAAAGCGCGACUGUCUACUCUCAUCAA
This is a non-coding RNA of Paramuricea clavata, 426 nucleotides long. NCBI's taxonomy places the organism in Eukaryota, Metazoa, Cnidaria, Anthozoa, Malacalcyonacea, Plexauridae. The record is from the annotation of a GenBank genome assembly.